GCUUUGGUAGUUCAGUGAUAGAAUUCUCACCUUCCAUGCAGGAGACCCAGGUUUGAUUCCUGGUCAACGCA
Molecule: transfer RNA, 71 nt
Filed under: Loxodonta africana (African savanna elephant)
Lineage: Eukaryota; Metazoa; Chordata; Mammalia; Proboscidea; Elephantidae
Rfam family: tRNA
About the family: Transfer RNA (tRNA) molecules are approximately 80 nucleotides in length. Their secondary structure includes four short double-helical elements and three loops (D, anti-codon, and T loops). Further hydrogen bonds mediate the characteristic L-shaped molecular structure. tRNAs have two regions of fundamental functional importance: the anti-codon, which is responsible for specific mRNA codon recognition, and the 3' end, to which the tRNAs corresponding amino acid is attached (by aminoacyl-tRNA synthetases). tRNAs cope with the degeneracy of the genetic code in two manners: having more than one tRNA (with a specific anti-codon) for a particular amino acid; and 'wobble' base-pairing, i.e. permitting non-standard base-pairing at the 3rd anti-codon position.
Source: Rfam by way of RNAcentral